RNAcentral lists this ribosomal RNA (443 nucleotides) under uncultured soil bacterium. RNAcentral's name for it is "bacterial SSU rRNA". It matches the Rfam family "Bacterial small subunit ribosomal RNA", at positions 26 to 477 of the family's 1533-position model. The record is from RNAcentral.
AGGAUGAACGCUGGCGGCGUGCUUAACACAUGCAAGUCACGGGGGCCCAGCAAUGGGCAACCGGCGAACGGGUGCGUAACACGUGAGCAACCUACCGAAAUGAGGGGGAUAGCCGGCCCAACGGCCGGGUAAUACCGCAUACGCUCGAGACCAGGCAUUUGGACUCGAGGAAACCUCCGGGGCGUUUCGAGGGGCUCGCAGCCUAUCAGCUAGUUGUGAGGUAACGGCUCACCAAGGCGACGACGGGUAGCUGGUCUGAGAGGAUGGCCAGCCACAUUGGGACUGAGAUACGGCCCAGACUCCGUACGGGAGGCAGCAGGUGGGAAUCUUGCGCAAUGGCCUAACGGCGUGACGCAGCGACGCCGCGGUGAGGGAUGACGCUCGUUCGGAGUAGUUAAACCUCUUUUGCCUGACGACGUAAGUUGUCAGUUCUUUAGCUAGUA